Molecule: non-coding RNA, 26 nt
Filed under: Mus musculus (house mouse)
Lineage: Eukaryota; Metazoa; Chordata; Mammalia; Rodentia; Muridae
Source: RNAcentral
UAUGAGCAAGCCGAGUUCAGCAGGGU